RNAcentral lists this ribosomal RNA (1425 nucleotides) under Staphylococcus aureus. RNAcentral's name for it is "bacterial LSU rRNA". It matches the Rfam family "Bacterial large subunit ribosomal RNA", at positions 287 to 1710 of the family's 2925-position model. Lineage: Bacteria; Bacillati; Bacillota; Bacilli; Caryophanales; Staphylococcaceae. The record is from RNAcentral.
GCUUGUUGGGGUUGUAGGACACUCUAUACGGAGUUACAAAGGACGACAUUAGACGAAUCAUCUGGAAAGAUGAAUCAAAGAAGGUAAUAAUCCUGUAGUCGAAAAUGUUGUCUCUCUUGAGUGGAUCCUGAGUACGACGGAGCACGUGAAAUUCCGUCGGAAUCUGGGAGGACCAUCUCCUAAGGCUAAAUACUCUCUAGUGACCGAUAGUGAACCAGUACCGUGAGGGAAAGGUGAAAAGCACCCCGGAAGGGGAGUGAAAUAGAACCUGAAACCGUGUGCUUACAAGUAGUCAGAGCCCGUUAAUGGGUGAUGGCGUGCCUUUUGUAGAAUGAACCGGCGAGUUACGAUUUGAUGCAAGGUUAAGCAGUAAAUGUGGAGCCGUAGCGAAAGCGAGUCUGAAUAGGGCGUUUAGUAUUUGGUCGUAGACCCGAAACCAGGUGAUCUACCCUUGGUCAGGUUGAAGUUCAGGUAACACUGAAUGGAGGACCGAACCGACUUACGUUGAAAAGUGAGCGGAUGAACUGAGGGUAGCGGAGAAAUUCCAAUCGAACCUGGAGAUAGCUGGUUCUCUCCGAAAUAGCUUUAGGGCUAGCCUCAAGUGAUGAUUAUUGGAGGUAGAGCACUGUUUGGACGAGGGGCCCCUCUCGGGUUACCGAAUUCAGACAAACUCCGAAUGCCAAUUAAUUUAACUUGGGAGUCAGAACAUGGGUGAUAAGGUCCGUGUUCGAAAGGGAAACAGCCCAGACCACCAGCUAAGGUCCCAAAAUAUAUGUUAAGUGGAAAAGGAUGUGGCGUUGCCCAGACAACUAGGAUGUUGGCUUAGAAGCAGCCAUCAUUUAAAGAGUGCGUAAUAGCUCACUAGUCGAGUGACACUGCGCCGAAAAUGUACCGGGGCUAAACAUAUUACCGAAGCUGUGGAUUGUCCUUUGGACAAUGGUAGGAGAGCGUUCUAAGGGCGUUGAAGCAUGAUCGUAAGGACAUGUGGAGCGCUUAGAAGUGAGAAUGCCGGUGUGAGUAGCGAAAGACGGGUGAGAAUCCCGUCCACCGAUUGACUAAGGUUUCCAGAGGAAGGCUCGUCCGCUCUGGGUUAGUCGGGUCCUAAGCUGAGGCCGACAGGCGUAGGCGAUGGAUAACAGGUUGAUAUUCCUGUACCACCUAUAAUCGUUUUAAUCGAUGGGGGGACGCAGUAGGAUAGGCGAAGCGUGCGAUUGGAUUGCACGUCUAAGCAGUAAGGCUGAGUAUUAGGCAAAUCCGGUACUCGUUAAGGCUGAGCUGUGAUGGGGAGAAGACAUUGUGUCUUCGAGUCGUUGAUUUCACACUGCCGAGAAAAGCCUCUAGAUAGAAAAUAGGUGCCCGUACCGCAAACCGACACAGGUAGUCAAGAUGAGAAUUCUAAGGUGAGCGAGCGAACUCUCGUUAAGG